GAGGGUAUAGCUCAAAUGGUAGACUGCAUGCUUGAUGUGCAUAGGGUGCUGGGUUCAAUCCCCGGUACCUUCU
RNAcentral lists this transfer RNA (73 nucleotides) under Camelus bactrianus (Bactrian camel). It matches the Rfam family "tRNA". From Rfam's summary of the family: Transfer RNA (tRNA) molecules are approximately 80 nucleotides in length. Their secondary structure includes four short double-helical elements and three loops (D, anti-codon, and T loops). Further hydrogen bonds mediate the characteristic L-shaped molecular structure. tRNAs have two regions of fundamental functional importance: the anti-codon, which is responsible for specific mRNA codon recognition, and the 3' end, to which the tRNAs corresponding amino acid is attached (by aminoacyl-tRNA synthetases). tRNAs cope with the degeneracy of the genetic code in two manners: having more than one tRNA (with a specific anti-codon) for a particular amino acid; and 'wobble' base-pairing, i.e. permitting non-standard base-pairing at the 3rd anti-codon position. Lineage: Eukaryota; Metazoa; Chordata; Mammalia; Artiodactyla; Camelidae. RNAcentral also lists the same sequence under 1 other name. The record is from Rfam by way of RNAcentral.